CCUACGGGAGGCAGCAGUGGGGAAUAUUGCACAAUGGGGGAAACCCUGAUGCAGCGACGCCGCGUGAGCGAUGAAGUAUUUCGGUAUGUAAAGCUCUAUCAGCAGGGAAGAAAAUGACGGUACCUGACUAAGAAGCCCCGGCUAACUACGUGCCAGCAGCCGCGGUAAUACGUAGGGGGCAAGCGUUAUCCGGAUUUACUGGGUGUAAAGGGAGCGUAGACGGCGAUGCAAGCCUGGUGUGAAAGGCGGGGGCUCAACCCCGGGACUGCGCUGGAAACUGUAUGGCUGGAGUGAAGGAGAGGUAAGUGGAAUUCCUAGGGGAGCGGUGAAAUGGGUAGAUAUUAGGAGGAACACCAGUGGCGAAGGCGGCUGACUGGACUGUAACGGACGUUGAGGUUCGAAAGCGUGGGGAGCAAACAGGAUUAGAUACCCCGGUAGUC
This 440-nucleotide ribosomal RNA is filed under the name uncultured bacterium. RNAcentral's name for it is "partial 16S ribosomal RNA". It matches the Rfam family "Bacterial small subunit ribosomal RNA", at positions 338 to 795 of the family's 1533-position model. The record is from RNAcentral.